CUUCUUCCCGGGGGCGAAGGGCUGUGAAAGUUCAACAAUUUUUAUGAAUUUCUAAUCCAACCUCAUCAUCCUAUGGGAAACAGAAGACCACCAAGAACAGCCAGCUGAGACAGAAUUUCACUGUGUUGCCCAAGCCAAUCUUAAACUCCUGGUCUCAAGCGAUCCUCCUGCCUUGGCCUCCCACUGUGCCUGGCCUAUGGACUCUGAAUUUUUUUAAAAGACUGGAAAAAACUUUUAUAAGAGAAUUGGAAAUUUGGACAGUAUCUUGGCAGUAACCUCCUCCAUAUAUUUCCUUGGCCCUCAGCUUACAUCUAGCAAAAUGACUCUACUGGUUCCAGGCUUCACAUGCAUACAACAUGGUGUUGGAGGAACAGAGAUGUUUUCUCUUCCUGGUGUUUUCCCAGACAUUUCUUAGCUGGCAUUUCAAACAAGGGUCCUGAAAUUCACCCUGGUUGGGUCGUGUUCUCCCCUUCCCAUUCCCCAUCCCCACCCUCAACCGAAAAAUGAUGUAAGCAGGGGAAAUUGAAUGUACCAAUGUUUGUUUUUAAACAAGCCACAGACCCCUCCCCAACUCCCCGACUGAAGCUUGAAGUGGGAUCAGCUUUCCCUAAAGUACUUGAGCUUAUGGUAAAGCAUAUAUGUUAUCCAAGUUAAAGUCUGGACGCUGUUAGUAAUGGGAAGGCAAGUAAUGAAUGUUAGCUAUGGAGCCAACAGACAGUGUCCACUCCAUUGUCUUUAAGGCCCAACUAAAGAUAACCUCUUUACCAAUGUCGGUUUAUUUAUUCAUUUAUUUAUUCAUUGAGAUGGAGUCUCACUCUCUCACCCAAGCUGGAGUGCAGUGGAAUGAUCUCAGCUGACUGCAAUUUCUGCCUCCCAGGUUCAAGCAAUCUCCUGCUUCAGCCUCCCAAGUAGCUGGGAUUACAGGCGCACACCACCAUGCCCGGCUAAUUUUUGUAUUUUUAGUAGAGAUAGGGUUUCACCAUGUUGGCCAAGCUGGUCUCGGACACCUGACCUCAAGUGAUCUGCCUGCCUCGGCCCCCAAAGGUGUGAGCCACUGCACCUGGCUACAAUGUCAGUUUCUAUAAAAACUGCCUUGACUUGUUUUGUUUGCUUGUUUUGUUUGUUUGUGUUUUAAUUUUUAUUAUUUUUUUUUAGAGACAGGGUCUCAAUCUGUUGUCUAGGCUUGAGUGCAGUGGUGCAAUCAUAGCUCACUGAAGUGUUGGACUCCCAGGCUCAAGCAGUCCUCCCACCUCAGCCUCCCAAGUAGCUGAGACUACAGGCAUGCACCACCCUGUCUGGCUAAUUUUUUAUUUUUAGUAGAGAUGAGGUCUCACUAUGUUGCCCAAGGUGGCCUCAAACUCCUGGCCUCAAGUACUCCUGUGGCCUUAGCCUCCCAAAGCUCUGGGAUUGCAGGUAUGAGCCGCCAUGCCUGGCCUACUGUAUAUUUUAUGCAUUUGAUAUAAGUCUUGCCUCCCUAAGUAUAUUACAAGUCCCUUGAAGUUAAAGACAUUAGAUUCCUACUCAGUGCUGAGCUGCAACAGAGAGCACUCAAUGAUGGAUAAAAUAGUUUUAGCAUGCAUUCAGCGAUAUAUAUUUAGAAAGUGGAACUAGGUGGUUGAAAAAAGUGUAUAGAUGGGUGGAAGGGAAUAUUACAGCUCUUAGAAUUGUCCUAAGGUGAGAGUAACAAAUUAAGCAAUGAGUCCCUGGGUUCACUCAAGCAACUUCACUCUCUAAAACAAGAGCCCACAGAAUCCCAUUUCUGCUUUCAGAAUGAGUUUGAGGCCAAUAUUAUUUCCAUUUUUUUUCUUUUUCUUUCUUUCUUUUUUUUUUUUUUUUUUUUGAGACGGAGUUUCACUCUUGUUGCCCAGGCUGUUUUGAUCUCGGCUCACUGCAACCUCUGCCCCUGGGUUCAAGCGAUUCUCCUGUCUCAACCUCCCAAGCUGGGAUUACAAGCAUGCGCUACCACACCUGGCUAAUUUUGUAUUUUUAAUAGAGACGGGGUUUCUCUGUGUUGGUCAGGCUGGUCUCAAACUCCCAACCUCAGGUGAUCUGCCCACCUUGGCCCAGCCUCCAAUAUGAUUUUCUAAUAGCUGUGUUUGAUGAUUAUAUUUAUUCCUCCAUCAGUAGCUUUUUUAGCCUUGAAAAUAUCUAUUUAAGUUUCUUAUUUCCUUUGGAUCUAUCAAAGUGUUUUUCCCCAAGUGGCACCUGGGAAAACAUAUUCUAUUCAUUUAUUUUAUAACUGUUCCCUUGACCUCUUUAUUGCUUCCCUAUUACAACCCAAGAUGCUCUUGUAAACCUGACUUAAUAUUGGCAGUCUUCAUCCCUUGCAAAUGGAAGUGAUGACAGACCCAAUACUUUGUGUAAAAAUAUUUUGCUAUUUCUAUACAAAAUAUUUUAUUAAUGGAAACCACAUGUUAUGUAUUUUACAUAUGUUAUGACUUGAAAUUUAUGUUAUGACUUGAAAUUGGGGAAUCUGAUAUGUCUCUAAUAAUAAAG
Molecule: long non-coding RNA, 2496 nt
Filed under: Homo sapiens (human)
Lineage: Eukaryota; Metazoa; Chordata; Mammalia; Primates; Hominidae
Description: uncharacterized LOC105375690, transcript variant 7 (LOC105375690)
Source: RNAcentral